AUUGAACGCUGGCGGCAGGCCUAACACAUGCAAGUCGAACGAGUGGCGGACGGGUGAGUAAUGUCUGGGAAACUGCCUGAUGGAGGGGGAUAACUACUGGAAACGGUAGCUAAUACCGCAUACCAUCAGAUGUGCCCAGAUGGGAUUAGCUAGUUGGUGGGGUAACGGCUAACCAAGGCGACGAUCCCUAGCUGGUCUGAGAGGAUGACCGGCCAAACUGGGACGUAGACACGGUCCAGACUCCUACGGGAGGCAGCAUUGGGGAAUAUUGCACAAUGGGCGCAAGCCUGAUGCAGCCAUGCCGCGUGUAUGAAGAAGGCCUUCGGUUUGUAAAGUACUGUCAGCGGGGAGGCGGUACCCGCAGAAGAAGCACCGGCUAACUCCGUGCCAGCCGCCGCGGUAAUAC
Molecule: ribosomal RNA, 406 nt
Filed under: uncultured bacterium
Lineage: Bacteria
Description: partial 16S ribosomal RNA
Rfam family: Bacterial small subunit ribosomal RNA
Source: RNAcentral